CACCACCCAAAACGCGUCCGUCUUCCAAACUCCCAACAUCUGGAAGCAGAUACGCACCAUGUUUCGCACCAUCAGCCAUCGUUGGGGGCGAUUGAAGCAGCUGCAAUCCACCAACAACUACAAUCACAACAAUCCUUCUCCUUCCUUCCUUUUCUCUCUCUCAACCACAGCUACAGCCAACAACAACAGCAGCAGUAAGUCGAGUGCUUUGCCUCCUCCGAUCCGAGUCUCACUCACCGACUCAGCAGGCAGAGGCACGUUCGCAACUCGGAGAAUCGGCGCAGGCGAUCUCAUCCACACUGCAAAGCCCUUAAUCUCCCAUCCUUCCAUCUCCCUCAUCCUCAAUGUCUGCUACUUCUGCUUGAAGAGAUUGGGGAUGGACUCUUCUGCCAUUUCCGCCCCUCUUGAGGGCAAUCGCCGUACUGAUUCAACCCCCACCGGACCCGCUUUGGAUGUCGAUCGUCGCGUCUAUUUCUGCAGUGAGGAAUGUCGAGAAAAUUCAAAGGUAUUUUAUGAAGUUGAGAAGAUGGUGGAUUGGUCAGCAUUUGAUGAUCAUUGCAGAUUACGAGGGUUGAAAUAUCCAUUUUUGGUAAAGCGGUUGGCUUGUAUGAUUAUAUCAGGAGCAGCAUCCGUAGACUUUCUCGACAUUCUUCAGCCAGCCAAUUUAUUCCCUGAGAUGAUUUUAGAGAUGGAAGAGGAGUUUCAUUUGCUCAGGUGCACUUUAUUGAAGGCAGGGUUUGAUGAACAGAUUGCAUUUCUAACAAAGCAAUGGUACAUUGGUGUGCUGGUGAGGAUUCGGAUCAAUGCAUUUCGUGUUGAAUUGAUUGGAGGCUCAUAUGAGGAUCUACUUUCAGCAGCAGCAGCCUCCAUUGUUGCUGAAUCUGCUGUUGGAAAUGCCGUUUAUAUGCUUCCAUCCUUUUACAAUCAUGACUGUGUGGCUAAGCUGAUUGCAAGUUGUGCACUCCAGAUCCAAAUGCACACAUAAUUUGGAUAGAGAACGUGGAUGCAAGAUUGAAGGCUCUCCGUGACAUUGAAGCAGAUGAGGAGCUUCGUAUAUGCUACAUUGAUGCGGGUAUGGACCAUGAUGCUCGACAAACCCUCCUCUCCAAAGGGUUUGGUUUCCAGUGCAGAUGUCCCCGGUGCAUGUCUGGUGAUUAAGGAAAUAAAAGGACUCCAUUUUUCAUUUCUGUAUUGGUUUUUCAUCCUUCUUUUUUUCACGGACAUGUAUUGUAAUAUUUUCUCAGAAUAAAGGUAAGAGGUCCGUGAGUACCAGGUGUUUUGAGUUA
This is an RNA transcript of Magnolia sinica, 1286 nucleotides long. It is a transcript of the gene named histone-lysine N-methyltransferase ATXR4, with no coding region annotated. The transcript has 8 exons. The record is from RefSeq and is a predicted model, not a curated record. NCBI's taxonomy places the organism in Eukaryota, Viridiplantae, Streptophyta, Magnoliopsida, Magnoliales, Magnoliaceae.